AGCUCCAAUAGCGUAUAUUAAAGUUGUUGCAGUUAAAAAGCUCGUAGUUGGACUUUAGGCAAGGCGGCCUGGUCACCCUCUGGGUGUACUGGGAUCGCUGCGCCUCACCUUCGGGGAGCUAGUCGUGCUUCGGUGCGCUAGGGAACCGAGCCUUACCUUGAGGAAAUUAGAGUGUUUAAAGCAGGCUUAUGCUUGAAUACGUUAGCAUGGAAUAACAUGAUAGGACUUUGGUUCUAUUUUGUUGGUUUGAGGACCAAAGUAAUGAUUAAUAGGGACAGUUGGGGGCAUUAGUAUUCAAUAGUCAGAGGUGAAAUUCUUGGAUUUAUUGAAGACUAACUAAUGCGAAAGCAUUUGCCAAGGAUGUUUUCA
Molecule: ribosomal RNA, 369 nt
Filed under: uncultured eukaryote
Lineage: Eukaryota
Description: SSU rRNA
Rfam family: Eukaryotic small subunit ribosomal RNA
Source: RNAcentral